This 768-nucleotide ribosomal RNA is filed under the name Staphylococcus simulans. Its description in RNAcentral is "bacterial SSU rRNA". It matches the Rfam family "Bacterial small subunit ribosomal RNA", at positions 59 to 812 of the family's 1533-position model. Lineage: Bacteria; Bacillati; Bacillota; Bacilli; Caryophanales; Staphylococcaceae. The record is from RNAcentral.
CAGUCGAGCGAACAGACGAGGAGCUUGCUCCUCUGACGUUAGCGGCGGACGGGUGAGUAACACGUGGGUAACCUACCUAUAAGACUGGGAUAACUCCGGGAAACCGGGGCUAAUACCGGAUAACACAUGAAACCGCAUGGUUUCAUGAUGAAAGACGGUUUUGCUGUCACUUAUAGAUGGACCCGCGGCGUAUUAGCUAGUUGGUAAGGUAACGGCUUACCAAGGCAACGAUACGUAGCCGACCUGAGAGGGUGAUCGGCCACACUGGAACUGAGACACGGUCCAGACUCCUACGGGAGGCAGCAGUAGGGAAUCUUCCGCAAUGGGCGAAAGCCUGACGGAGCAACGCCGCGUGAGUGAUGAAGGUCUUCGGAUCGUAAAACUCUGUUAUUAGGGAAGAACAAGGAUGUAAGUAACUAUGCAUCCCUUGACGGUACCUAAUCAGAAAGCCACGGCUAACUACGUGCCAGCAGCCGCGGUAAUACGUAGGUGGCAAGCGUUAUCCGGAAUUAUUGGGCGUAAAGCGCGCGUAGGCGGUUUUUUAAGUCUGAUGUGAAAGCCCACGGCUCAACCGUGGAGGGUCAUUGGAAACUGGAAAACUUGAGUGCAGAAGAGGAAAGUGGAAUUCCAUGUGUAGCGGUGAAAUGCGCAGAGAUAUGGAGGAACAGCUAGUGGCGAAUGCGACUUUCUGGUCUGCAACUGACGCUGAUGUGCGAAAGCGUGAGAUCAAACAGAUUAGAUACCCUGCUAGUCCACGCGUAACGAUGA